Molecule: long non-coding RNA, 587 nt
Organism: Oryzias latipes (Japanese medaka)
Lineage: Eukaryota; Metazoa; Chordata; Actinopteri; Beloniformes; Adrianichthyidae
Source: RefSeq, a predicted model, not a curated record
CGACCCAGCGCCAUCUUGUUACAUUUGCGACGUACAUCUGAUGAUCCAGAACAUGACGAGGACGAACAGGAAAAACAAUUAGGAAUAUAAUAUUCGGCGGACAAGAUAAAAGGAGUUUCAGGCCAAACGAGCUUACAUUGAUUGUGGAGCCAUAAGAGGAGAUACCAGAGCUUCAUCCAUCGUGGAUGUUUAUCCAGAGAACUGCAUCAUGUGCCUAGAGAAAUGCAUAGAGUCCUUGCUCCCCACUAUGAUGAAUUCAUUGAGGAAGUCAGAAUGUGAUGGGAGGAUUGCUGCGCCAGGGUCAUUUUACAGAGUAUGAAAGAAGGCAAUAAAGCCACCAAUCAACAGGGAUAAAAUGGAAGCCAACUUUGCUCUGGUGAAGGCCCUUCCCAUUCUCUUUCCCCAAGUGGCACCUCCAUCAAAGAAACUGGGGUGUGCUAGUGAAGCUUUACUGCAUGUUCAGGAGUCAACAGAAGAUCCAAACGUCUUCAUCCAGAAGAGAGGCUCACGUGAACAUGAGAGUUUUGAACAUGGAAGCCCGAAAUGCAUAGACUUUCAUUUGGACGUGCGUUGCCGAGGGCAGUGAC